This 77-nucleotide transfer RNA is filed under the name Verrucomicrobiia bacterium. RNAcentral's name for it is "tRNA-Leu". It matches the Rfam family "tRNA". Rfam says of the family: Transfer RNA (tRNA) molecules are approximately 80 nucleotides in length. Their secondary structure includes four short double-helical elements and three loops (D, anti-codon, and T loops). Lineage: Bacteria; Pseudomonadati; Verrucomicrobiota; Verrucomicrobiia. The record is from RNAcentral.
CGCAGGGUGAAUCGACACGACACACCGUCAGGCUCAUAACCUGAAGGUCCUAGGUUCAAAUCCUAGCCCCGCAACCA